ACCUGUCAAAUUCAAACGAGAAUCUAAUUUAACGAUCACAAGCUUUUCCCAUUUUUCGAUCAUUUGGCGUUCGUCAGUUUCAAGGUGGCGAAGAGACAAGCAAUGGCGGAUUGGCAGCCAAUUCAUCGGCGGUGGAGAAAAAUCAGACCGGUAAAUUGAUUGCUCGAGCGGCCAAGAGACGACUGAUACUUUCUAAUAUCUCGAAUCAUACAACUCUCCCUGCUCGUAACUCGAUUUCUCAUUCCUUCAAACUUGUGUGGGACUUGAUAAAACUGGCGAAUUAUAUCUAACAGAGAGGAAAGAUAUUGACUCGUCAAGGAUAGAACUAGUGGUGAAUCACUUGGAGGAUAGGCGAGUCAUUUUACAUGCAAUAUCGAACUUUUUCUUAAACAUGUGGAGUUCAUAUAUGUUUUGUGUUGCAGGAAACUCAGGAAGCUGAGAUCAAAUGUUAAGGAAGAGCUUAAAAUUUAAAGCAACACCUAUGCCAAGCUUUUAUCAGUAACCUGCACCUCCAAAGAUGGAGUUGAGAAGAUAAUUUUUUGCUACGUUGUAUGUUAUAAUGCCGAAAAAUACAAUCUUGUAUGGGAAAAAAAUAAAACUGAUGUCUUUGAAGGAAGUGCCCCCGAAUAAAGCUGAUGGAAGCGCAGAAUCAUCCUCGUAUCUUAAAUCCAUCAAAUCUUUCUUUUUUCCUUCAGUCCUUCGAUUUAGAGUUCUUAUUUUUAUUAGCAUUAAAUAUAAGUCAUCAAGUUUAUCCUUAAUCACUUCAUU
Solanum pennellii is the source of this 768-nucleotide long non-coding RNA. RefSeq lists it as uncharacterized. The transcript is spliced from 4 exons. The record is from RefSeq and is a predicted model, not a curated record. Lineage: Eukaryota; Viridiplantae; Streptophyta; Magnoliopsida; Solanales; Solanaceae.